RNAcentral lists this ribosomal RNA (468 nucleotides) under uncultured bacterium. RNAcentral describes it as "partial 16S ribosomal RNA". It matches the Rfam family "Bacterial small subunit ribosomal RNA", at positions 28 to 507 of the family's 1533-position model. The record is from RNAcentral.
GACGAACGCUGGCGGCGUGCUUAACACAUGCAAGUCGAACGGAAAGGCCCUGCUUUUGUGGGGUGCUCGAGUGGCGAACGGGUGAGUAACACGUGAGUAACCUGCCCUUGACUUUGGGAUAACUUCAGGAAACUGGGGCUAAUACCGGAUAGGAGCUCCUGCUGCAUGGUGGGGGUUGGAAAGUUUCGGCGGUUGGGGAUGGACUCGCGGCUUAUCAGCUUGUUGGUGGGGUAGUGGCUUACCAAGGCUUUGACGGGUAGCCGGCCUGAGAAGGUGACCGGCCACAUUGGGACUGAGAUACGGCCCAGACUCCUACGGGAGGCAGCAGUGGGGAAUAUUGCACAAUGGGCGGAAGCCUGAUGCAGCAACGCCGCAUGCGGGAUGACGGCCUUCGGGUUGUAAACCGCUUUCGCCUGUGACGAAGCGUGAGUGACGGUAAUGGGUAAAGAAGCGCCGGCUAACUACGUG